AACGAACGCUGGCGGCAUGCCUAACACAUGCAAGUCGAACGAGACCUUCGGGUCUAGUGGCGCACGGGUGCGUAACGCGUGGGAACCUGCCCUUAGGUUCGGAAUAACUCCCCGAAAGGGGUGCUAAUACCGGAUAAUGUCUUCGGACCAAAGAUUUAUCGCCUUUGGAUGGGCCCGCGUUGGAUUAGCUAGUUGGUAGGGUAAAAGCCUACCAAAGCGACGAUCCAUAGCUGGUCUGAGAGGAUGAUCAGCCACACUGGGACUGAGACACGGCCCAGACUCCUACGGGAGGCAGCAGUGGGGAAUAUUGGACAAUGGGCGAAAGCCUGAUCCAGCAAUGCCGCGUGAGUGAUGAAGGCCUUAGGGUUGUAAAGCUCUUUUACCCGGGAUGAUAAUGACAGUACCGGGAGAAUAAGCUCCGGCUAACUCCGUG
Molecule: ribosomal RNA, 433 nt
Filed under: uncultured bacterium
Lineage: Bacteria
Description: partial 16S ribosomal RNA
Rfam family: Bacterial small subunit ribosomal RNA
Source: RNAcentral